This 73-nucleotide transfer RNA is filed under the name soil metagenome. It matches the Rfam family "tRNA". Rfam says of the family: Transfer RNA (tRNA) molecules are approximately 80 nucleotides in length. Their secondary structure includes four short double-helical elements and three loops (D, anti-codon, and T loops). RNAcentral also lists the same sequence under 1 other name. The record is from RNAcentral.
GGGCGGUUAGCUCAGUUGGUAGAGCGCUUCGUUUACACCGAAGACGUCGGGGGUUCGAGUCCCUCACCGCCCA